RNAcentral lists this long non-coding RNA (661 nucleotides) under Danio rerio (zebrafish). RNAcentral's name for it is "si:dkey-67n17.2 (ENSDARG00000097130.2)". The record is from RNAcentral. Lineage: Eukaryota; Metazoa; Chordata; Actinopteri; Cypriniformes; Danionidae.
GUGCUUUACAGAAGCAUGUUUUACUCCGGCCUCAAGAGGACGCCAUUUACUAAAACAGCAGCUAAAGAACAGCUAAAGGUGGAUUUUUAACACUCUUCCAUCAAAAGUCAACCUUGCUGUUUAACGUUUACAAGGAGGAAACGUGUGGUCGAGUUUGACAGCGUACCCUAUUGAUCAGCUCUCCCACCAUGCCCGUCCACGAGCCGUUGGGUUCGGGUGCCCCGUACAGACCAUCGUCCACCAGUUUGAUGCGGAAACCUUGGCUUGUGUCUGAAUUAACCAACCCAGGUCUGCUGAAGAUCAUCCCUGAACACACAACACAUCCAACCUUGAAGCAGAUGAGCUUCCGCAGAGGAAGAAGAGCACACUGGUGCCUCUCCUGUCAGCUGGAAACAGAAAAAUGAGACUGCAAUCGGCACAGAAACAUGUUGCCUGCUCUAAUGAGUCUCGAUGUCUGCUGCAGCAUUCAGAUGGUUGGGGUUUUGGUGUAAACAACCCAAAAGCAUAGAUCCAUCCUGCCUUUUAUCAGUGGUUCAGACUGCUGUGGUGUAAUGAUGUGCGGGAUAUUUUCUUUGCAGACGUAUGACCCCUUAUCCCUAACAAAGUGGUGUUGUUUAACUGAUACUUAUGCCCGAGUUUUGAUUAAAGCCACAAAUCUCAA